Molecule: non-coding RNA, 277 nt
Organism: Dermacentor albipictus
Lineage: Eukaryota; Metazoa; Arthropoda; Arachnida; Ixodida; Ixodidae
Source: RefSeq, a predicted model, not a curated record
CACAACCCCAAUCCCGCACCCUCGCUAUCACAAAUAACCCUAUACUGUUUUCAAUGUGAUCAGCGGUACUUGGGAACUUCACCCAUUUGGCGUCACAGGACAGUCCAUGGUGCUGAGGAAAUGUGGUUUAAAACCAACUGUCGGACCAACUUGUGUCACUGGAUCUCUCGCCCUCAUCUCGGCGAAGCUGCGAACGUCAAGACGAACCCAGCGAGGUUCUAGCAAUUCCACUGUAAUAAUUUUGGGAUUUCAGCGACGGCAGCGGUGGACAUAAAAA